This is an unclassified non-coding RNA of Papio anubis (olive baboon), 148 nucleotides long. It matches the Rfam family "Metazoan signal recognition particle RNA". Rfam says of the family: The signal recognition particle (SRP) is a universally conserved ribonucleoprotein. It is involved in the co-translational targeting of proteins to membranes. The eukaryotic SRP consists of a 300-nucleotide 7S RNA and six proteins: SRPs 72, 68, 54, 19, 14, and 9. Lineage: Eukaryota; Metazoa; Chordata; Mammalia; Primates; Cercopithecidae. The record is from Ensembl.
GCUGGGCGUGGUGGUGCACGCCUGUAAUCCCAGCUACUUGGGAGGCUGAGGCAGGAGAAUCACUUGAAUUUGGGAGGUGGAGGUUGCAGUGAGCUGAGAUCGUGCCACUGCACUCCAGCCUGGGCAACAGAGCGAGACUCUGUCUCAA